UGCGUAGGCGGCUUUUUAAGUCGGAUGUGAAAUCCCUGAGCUUAACUUAGGAAUUGCAUUCGAUACUGGAAAGCUAGAGUAUGGGAGAGGAUGGUAGAAUUCCAGGUGUAGCGGUGAAAUGCGUAGAGAUCUGGAGGAAUACCGAUGGCGAAGGCAGCCAUCUGGCCUAAUACUGACGCUCAGGCUCGAAGGCAUGGGGAGCAAAAGGGAUUAGAUACCCUCGUA
Molecule: ribosomal RNA, 225 nt
Filed under: uncultured Acinetobacter sp.
Lineage: Bacteria; Pseudomonadati; Pseudomonadota; Gammaproteobacteria; Moraxellales; Moraxellaceae
Description: partial 16S ribosomal RNA
Rfam family: Bacterial small subunit ribosomal RNA
Source: RNAcentral